RNAcentral lists this ribosomal RNA (888 nucleotides) under Staphylococcus pasteuri. RNAcentral describes it as "bacterial SSU rRNA". It matches the Rfam family "Bacterial small subunit ribosomal RNA", at positions 57 to 926 of the family's 1533-position model. Lineage: Bacteria; Bacillati; Bacillota; Bacilli; Caryophanales; Staphylococcaceae. The record is from RNAcentral.
GCAGUCGAGCGAACAGAUAAGGAGCUUGCUCCUUUGACGUUAGCGGCGGACGGGUGAGUAACACGUGGAUAACCUACCUAUAAGACUGGGAUAACUUCGGGAAACCGGAGCUAAUACCGGAUAACAUAUUGAACCGCAUGGUUCAAUAGUGAAAGGCGGCUUUGCUGUCACUUAUAGAUGGAUCCGCGCCGUAUUAGCUAGUUGGUAAGGUAACGGCUUACCAAGGCAACGAUACGUAGCCGACCUGAGAGGGUGAUCGGCCACACUGGAACUGAGACACGGUCCAGACUCCUACGGGAGGCAGCAGUAGGGAAUCUUCCGCAAUGGGCGAAAGCCUGACGGAGCAACGCCGCGUGAGUGAUGAAGGUCUUCGGAUCGUAAAACUCUGUUAUCAGGGAAGAACAAAUGUGUAAGUAACUGUGCACAUCUUGACGGUACCUGAUCAGAAAGCCACGGCUAACUACGUGCCAGCAGCCGCGGUAAUACGUAGGUGGCAAGCGUUAUCCGGAAUUAUUGGGCGUAAAGCGCGCGUAGGCGGUUUUUUAAGUCUGAUGUGAAAGCCCACGGCUCAACCGUGGAGGGUCAUUGGAAACUGGAAAACUUGAGUGCAGAAGAGGAAAGUGGAAUUCCAUGUGUAGCGGUGAAAUGCGCAGAGAUAUGGAGGAACACCAGUGGCGAAGGCGACUUUCUGGUCUGUAACUGACGCUGAUGUGCGAAAGCGUGGGGAUCAAACAGGAUUAGAUACCCUGGUAGUCCACGCCGUAAACGAUGAGUGCUAAGUGUUAGGGGGUUUCCGCCCCUUAGUGCUGCAGCUAACGCAUUAAGCACUCCGCCUGGGGGAGUACGACCGCAAGGUUGAAACUCAAAGGAAUUGACGGGGACCCGCAC